GGCCUGAAUACUGUAGGUACUGUGUUAAAACACAGCAUUUGCAUGGAUGCCAAACACCUGCACUAGGGAUUACGCUAACCUUUUAUACAGAUUCAGACAGGACCACAAAGCAACAAAGAGGGGAGGACUCCAUGCCACAACUCACAGACACUUUAAGAAAGUUAAUAGGUUUAUUUAACAAAAUAGAUGAUGACAGGUUACACAAAGUCCACUGCUAAUGCAUGGUAAUUAAUAUAACAAACCAUAAACAGGUAAGUAAAUAACUACACAAAACCCAGAUGCAUAAGCAGGUCUCUAAUUACUAAACACAAACAUGAGCUAAUGAAAGACUCACAUCAAAGGCUCUGUACUACAGGCUAAACACUGUGAACUAAACAAGUCAAAACGUGGACAGACAUAUGACACACAAGGUACAAACCUUUACGAAUACACACAACACAAACCAAAGUCUCAAUUCAAAAAUGUCUCCAAUAAACAUUGUCACUGACACAGAGCAUGACGUCCACAAAAAUAUUGGUAACUGCUCCAUUUCACCAUCAACUAACCAACCACAGUAACAGUGACACGUAAAGCAGAACAGGAAAUGACAUCAUGCUUGAGGAAGAAUAACAACCAAGACAACACUGGAACAAGUCAAAACCAAGCCUAUUAAUGCAAGACUGGAUGAAAAUAAAUCUUGUGAUAUUGCAGAAGCUUACCGAAAAACAAUGCCACAGCAAAUGAUUUUUCAGACACGCAGUGUAUAACGUAUGGUCCCAAAAACAGGGGGCUUAAAAAUCAGCAGAACUCACAAAAUACUAAAAUUUCUAUCAUGCAUCCUUUCUUUUAUCUUUUAUUUGGUGUCUCAUAGCAGACCUUGCCUAGACCUACAACAACACAUGCACAUUGAGAAACUGAUUUACCAAGGAUUUCGUCGGGCCCACAAAGUUAAUAUGUGCAUUACUGCUUUACUGAGUGUGUUAGUUGUUUAGAUAGGAAAGGGUUUUAUAUACUGUCACUUAGAAGACUUAGAUUUAGUAAGCUAAAGGCUGCAAAAUCCAUUACUAGGUACUAGGUACAGUGUCACAAUGUGUGACGUGUCAUGGUAGCUCAUUUAGUAUAGCAUUGUCCUGUGAAGCAGGUUGUUGGUUCGAUCCCUGCCUCCCUGCCCUGUGUAUGUGAGCAAGACACUUAAAACUAGUUCAGUUAGAUUAGUUAUUAUUAUGAAGGGAGGUAGUGUACAAUUAUCAGAUGAAAAAGAAAGAAGACAUUUGGCUCAUAACAGACAUUUGGUGUACACGCACUGUGUAUCACAUCUACUGUUACAACCUUGUAUUUAUAGUGCUAAAGUCUCUGUUACUACAGAUUGAUACUUAAAGGAAAACUUAACCGAUUUUCAAUGGAGGUUGACCAAAACAAUGUUGGAUAAUUUUUUUUAUGUUUAGAUUGUUAGAAUGUUACACACUGUUAAAAUAUAACCUUUCGUUAAGAAUGUAAAGUGAUGUUUGAAAGUUUAUCUGUUAGAUUCAGUUGUGCUUCUUUCAGCGCAGAGACAUGAUGCAUCUGGCUCUCAGCUGUUUGUUAAGAAUAACAAUAAGAAUGCCUUUAAAGGAGUCAUAUCAUGCUUUUCAUUCUAAAAAAUAUUAGACUCAAAGACUGAGAUGUCUCAGUAAGGUCUCUGUAAAUUUUCAUCCCAUAAAACCCUUUAGAUCGUCCACACUGCCCCUGUCAAUGUGUGGUUUUCACUCCCCAUCAGUAAACGCUCUGUUUUCUGGGCGUGUCGCAAGCGAAGCUGCUCACCACACCUCUGUGCGGAAGCGCAUACCUUUUUUGUUGUUGUUUUUUUUUUAAAUUGGCUCCAUGGAUACGAGCCACCGCACGGUUACGAUACAAUAGGUGGCAGUAGUGCGACAUUGAGAAUGCAAUCCACCGCAUCCUCCACAGAAGAAGAAGACCCACUACAGAACUGCACGACAUUAGUCAGCUGGUUCGUAGCGUAGUAGAACCAUACGUCUACGAUCCCGAAUCUGACCCUGAAGCUAAAGAGGAGGCUGUUGAAGUCACCACAUUUCGGCUGAUGCAAGAUGUGUCUCAUUGUUGUUACAGGUAUCUAGUCUACAGAGGCUAGUGAGCUGGUGCUGAGGAUUCCUGGGGUGAAGAAUCUGAGUUGCCAUCUCUUCAUGCUUGAGUUGUAGAUGAAGGCAGUUUCCUGAUGGAUAAAACACUAAAACACUCAUAGUAUGAUUGAUGUAGACCACCUGUAGAAUAACUCCUUUACCGUUUGAGUAAAAAUGUGUUUUUUGUGAGUGCAACACUCAUUAAGAAUUUUUUUAACUUUAUUUAUAUAUAAUUUAUAUGCGUUUUAUUUAUGGCCGCUUCAACUUUAUAGCUUACCAUAUUAGAAAGAGAAAAACAUGUAAUUUCAAUACUAUGAUUUCCUAAAUAAAAGUGUUUUCCCUUCAGAAA
Long non-coding RNA from Betta splendens (Siamese fighting fish), 2445 nucleotides. RefSeq lists it as uncharacterized. The record is from RefSeq and is a predicted model, not a curated record. The transcript has 2 exons. Lineage: Eukaryota; Metazoa; Chordata; Actinopteri; Anabantiformes; Osphronemidae.